AUUUUGUUUUUCAGCUCACUUCAAGGGUACCUGAAGCGAAUUGGCACCAAAGCAGCAGCUGUAUUGCCGCAGUUCUAGCUUCACCUUCACGAUGUUUCCCUUGGUCAAAAACGCACUAAAUCGUCUCCAAGUUCGAAGCAUUCAGCAAACAAUGGCAAGGCAGAGCCACCAGAAACGUACACCUGAUUUUCAUGACAAAUACGGUAAUGCUGUAUUAGCUAGUGGAGCCACUUUCUGUAUUGUUACAUGGACAUACGUAAGUACUAUUGAUUAAUAAUUUCUAUUUCAGAUGUUUUUCAUUCUCAGUCUAUGCAUUCAAAGUGUCUUAACAUAGUAGUGUACAUAUCUAGUUAGGAGGGACUUGAGAGAUUGUGUAAUCUAAUUACCCACACAGUGCAGGGGAUUUUUUCCCCCCAGCAUUCAUCCAUCUUCUGUUCUUAACAUUCCCAGUAAUAAAUUGCUUACUGGAUCACAAGGCAGCCCUUUCCAUAUUGUGUAGCUGUUUUUUUUUUUUUUUUUUUUUUUUUAAGAAGAAGUCUUGCUGUGUCCCCCAGGCUGGAGUGCAGUGGUGCGAUCUUGGCUCACUGCAACCUCUGCCUCCUGGGUUCAAGCACUUCUUCUGCCUCAGGCUCCCAAAUAGCUGGGACUACAGGCGUGCGCCACCAGGCCUGGCUAAUUUU
Molecule: small RNA, 680 nt
Filed under: Pan troglodytes (chimpanzee)
Lineage: Eukaryota; Metazoa; Chordata; Mammalia; Primates; Hominidae
Description: processed transcript
Source: RNAcentral